Molecule: RNA transcript, 2099 nt
Organism: Zea mays
Lineage: Eukaryota; Viridiplantae; Streptophyta; Magnoliopsida; Poales; Poaceae
Exons: 10
Source: RefSeq, marked validated
CCACUAUAGCCCGAAUAAUGUUGUAUUACUCUUCAAGACAAAGAGUAAGCCAUCUUCAACGAGAGUUGUCACUACCGAUUUGAGCCGCAGGCUGCUGUUUCAACAAUGCGGAAGGUUGAUCGACCCCCAACCAAUCCGAAGCGUUUAAUCAUUGAGUCAAGUCAAGAAUGUUUCAGUGUUGACAUUCCAUGCUCGACUGACAUGGCAGACCCUACAAAUACGUCGUCUGAUGGUGAUCCUCCACAGCAUAGAAAGACGGGCGUUGCAGCUGCUGCUGAAAACAUUACUAUGCCUAAUGUGGAUGAUGAUGAUGACUUUGAGCCACCCAAAAAGAAGUGCAAUAUCUCAAUGGAUGCCCCAAAUAAGACGCAGCUGUAUUAUUUGGAUCAUUUGCAUCAUGCUGCUGCUCCAAACAACAAAAAUGGCACUCCACGCAUAAAGUAUUUUAAUAAGAAUAUUAUAAGGGCAUUGUCAAUGGCCGAUAAGCGGAAGCCUCGCCAGGGUGGUGAACCAUUUGGUGUUUGCCCUUUUCGUAGCAGCAGUGAGACAUGUUACGUCUAAAAAUCGCCAACUACUUGCCAGAUUGAGUUUCCUAUGAGGCCAGAAACUUUUGAUGAAGACCCAAAUCAACAUGAUCGACUUCCCAAUAUAAUCAUCCAACUCCCUCUUAUGCAAGACUUGAUGGCAAAUAAGAUUCAGAUGCUUCCUGUACAUCAACGCCAGAAGUUCCAAGCUACGUUGAUUGAUUAUGACUUAGAGGUUGGCAAAAUAUUUGCCUCUAUCAAGCAAUGUUUGAAUACUAUUGGUACAAAGCAGUCCAAUCUAGCUGCUACAUUUGGAGAAUUGAUUGAUGAGGUUCUUCGGGCCGAUGAAUCUGUUACACCAAAUACUACAGUGGUAGGUGGCACAGUUGAAAAUGAUUCUGGACCAGUAUUUGACAAGACUCCUAUUGGGAGUGUUUCUGCACCAGGUCUCUUCUUAUCUGAAUUAGAAUGUGCUCGCGCUCUUCGGGCAUACUUGUGUUCUAGGUUCAUUGAAUUGGACAGAAAUAUAAUUGACUUUGGUGAACAUCGCGCCAAUUGUUGUGACAUACAACAAUCUUUUGCUGAUGGCGCAUGUCUCGACAACGUGUUUAUGCAAUGUUUCAUUGAGUGUGUCCGUGAUGACUGGUCUAAACAUAUUCCUCCACUCAAUGCUCACCAGCUCAUUCUAGAUGUUAAUGUUGGGGCUAUAUUGAACUUUGAGGAGCAGGAGCAACAUAGUAAGUCUCCUCGUCCAUUUGACCCUUCAGUUUUGGAGAGUUACCUAUUGAGACACUGCCUUCUUUCAAGCAGCUGGAUGACUACAAAUCAAUAAUGGUACCCAUGCUACGAUCUGGACAUUGGACAUUGUAUGUUGUUAAUCUUCAGAUUGGACGCAUACAUGUGUUAGAUUCCAACCCUUAUGGACCAGAGAUGGGUGGGACUAUCUGGAAAAAUUACCAUUGUAUACCUAUGGAUUUGGGUGAUAGGAAGGUUUCAUGGGCCAGGUUAAUGAUGAGUAGGCUCAAUCUAGCUAUUCAAAAUGCUCGACCAAGAUCAGCUCUCCCUGCUUUUUUGAAGUACCCUAUUGAACUCAUGAAUAACUGCCCAACAAUGAAAUUGGGGUCUAAUGAUUGUGGAUUCUUUGUCAUGAGAUAUAUGCAGAACUACGACUACAUGGUUGGAGCUAUGAAUGCAGUCAUUGAUCCGGAUUAUUCAGAGGACAUUCGCUCUCUUGUACUGCAUUACCUAAUAUUCCAUCGACUAAAUAGAAACAGCUUCGUGGUCUCCCACCUGGACAGAUUCAAGUUCUCUCAGUAGUAGCCUAGUAUAGUUUACUAUCUUAAUAUUAGUAUGAACAUCAUGGUCUGAUGGCUUUUGGUGGUUUCAAGUUAUCUCAGUUCUAGCUUAGUUUAGGGUAGUGUCACUGAAUGGUGUUCAUGUAAAUAUUGGUCUGUUGGCUUAUGUUAGGAUUCAGAUAAUACUUAUGUCCAUAUGCAGCUCUUAGCAAACUCUUAUAUACAUCGUACCAGAUAUGUUUUAGAUGGUUAUAUUUAUAUAUGAUAGUUCUGCACUUUA